CUGCUAAAGAAGGAGGAAGGAAUGGGCAACGGUAGGUCAGCAUGCCCCGAAUUAAUUGGGCUACACGCGGGCUACAAUGGGUGGGACGAAUGGGUAUCGACACCGAAAGGUGAAGGCAAUCUCCUAAACCCAUCCGUAGUUCGGAUUGUGGGCUGCAACUCGCCCACAUGAAGCUGGAAUCUGUAGUAAUCGUGUCUCAAAAUGGCACGGUGAAUAUGUCCCUGCUCCUU
RNAcentral lists this ribosomal RNA (230 nucleotides) under uncultured Methanomicrobiales archaeon. RNAcentral describes it as "partial 16S ribosomal RNA". It matches the Rfam family "Archaeal small subunit ribosomal RNA", at positions 1111 to 1338 of the family's 1478-position model. The record is from RNAcentral. Lineage: Archaea; Methanobacteriati; Methanobacteriota; Methanomicrobia; Methanomicrobiales.